AUUAAACGCUGGCGGCAUGCCUUACACAUGCAAGUCGAACGGCAGCACGGGGGCAACCCUGGUGGCGAGUGGCGGACGGGUGAGUAAAGCAUCGGAACGUAUCCUGGAGUGGGGGGAUAACGUAGCGAAAGUUACGCUAAUACCGCAUAUUCUGUGAGCAGGAAAGCAGGGGAUCGCAAGACCUUGCGCUCUGGGAGCGGCCGAUGUCGGAUUAGCUAGUUGGUGGGGUAAAGGCCUACCAAGGCGACGAUCCGUAGCGGGUCUGAGAGGAUGAUCCGCCACACUGGGACUGAGACACGGCCCAGACUCCUACGGGAGGCAGCAGUGGGGAAUUUUGGACAAUGGGCGCAAGCCUGAUCCAGCCAUGCCGCGUGAGUGAAGAAGGCCUUC
Molecule: ribosomal RNA, 390 nt
Filed under: uncultured bacterium
Lineage: Bacteria
Description: bacterial SSU rRNA
Rfam family: Bacterial small subunit ribosomal RNA
Source: RNAcentral